Wasmannia auropunctata (little fire ant) is the source of this 1036-nucleotide long non-coding RNA. RefSeq lists it as uncharacterized. NCBI's taxonomy places the organism in Eukaryota, Metazoa, Arthropoda, Insecta, Hymenoptera, Formicidae. The record is from RefSeq and is a predicted model, not a curated record. The transcript has 5 exons.
UAUUAUUGAAAAUAAAAAUCUGGACGAAAUACCAGAAAGUCAACCAUUCGAUUAUGGAGAGAAUGAAAGUCUGGAUGAAAUACCAGAAAGUCAACCAUUGGACUAUGGAGAUAAUGAAAGCUUGGACGAAAUUCCAGAAAGUCAACCAUUGGACUAUGGAGAUAAUGAAAGCUUGGACGAAAUUCCAGAAAGUCAACCAUUGGACUAUGGAACUUUCUCUCAAUUUACUCAAAGAACAUUCUGCUCUUCAGAAAACAAAUUAAAUGCUGAUAUUUCACAGAAAAAUGAUAAGUAUUCAAAGGAUAUACAAUCAUUAUCUUCAAGUGAUGAUCAAGAAAAAAAAAACUUCUAAAGGGAUAACAAAAAUUCCAAUACUUGUUUCCUCGAAAAAAAAUUCUAUUCUUUAAGAACUCCAUCACCACGUAGUGAUAAAACAACUUUAAAAACACAAUCAAAAACUUUAAUGCAAGACUUUAAAAAUAGUCCUUCUGCAUCGUCCUCUUUACAUCAGAUGACUCCUCAAAGAUAUUCCAAAACAUCGGGUAACAAUAAAACCGAGAUUAAAACCUCCGUAAUAAAACCGAAAGUUCUAAACAUUUUAGAAACACGUAUUCCAUUAUCUGAAAUAACAGGUGGCAUUCAAAAUUAAAAAAAAUGAAAAUAAGAAUAAAAAAGAACUACAUGUUCACCAUGAGUUAUGUUGUAAAAUGUGUCGAACAGAUAUUAAAAUCAUUUUACAAACUGUAACAUUCAUAAAGCAGACUGUUUUGGAUUUACAUGCAGACGAACCACAUGGAGCAAGCGAAAUAAAUUUGAAUAUACCAAUUUCAACUAUUGAAGAAUUAAGUCAAUUUGAAGCUCUUUUGAAAGAAAAUGUUCCAGCUCAAUUACAAUAUUUUUUUGGCAGAAGAAAAUGAUUCGUACUGUUGGAAGAGCAUGUUCAAAAAAGCAUGUUCGAAACGCACUUAAAUUAACCAUAACUGACAAUGUUGCUUAUAAAUUAUCUUGAACCGGACAAAAACAUUAUGUUGAAGCA